CGUCCAAGUCAAAGUCCAAGUCUUUCACGUUAACCCGAACCCCAGGAUUUCAGCACUCCUUCUUUUCAUCACCGCUUCCGAGCCCGUCGGACCGGGCGUCCUGCAGAUCCAGUUUGCAGCUGGUUCAAUCCAGAGACUCUCACACAACACUGCACCCCUGAGCAAGAAUAAUAGCUGCUCCCUCAAACACACCUGACAGGAUUCACCUGUGACGUGGAGGGACAGAUAAGGGGGGGACUGAGAGAGAGAGAGGUGGAGAGAGAGAGAAAGAGAGAGAGAGAGGUGAAGAGAAAGAGAUAAACAAACACAGAGAGAGAGAGAGAGAGAGAGAGAGAGAGAGAGAGAGAGAUAAACAAACACAGAGAGAGAGAGAGAGAGAAGAGAGAGGGAAGAGAAAGAGAUAAACAAACA
Long non-coding RNA from Ictalurus punctatus (channel catfish), 411 nucleotides. The record is from Ensembl. NCBI's taxonomy places the organism in Eukaryota, Metazoa, Chordata, Actinopteri, Siluriformes, Ictaluridae.